RNAcentral lists this long non-coding RNA (1327 nucleotides) under Equus asinus (donkey). RNAcentral's name for it is "lncRNA (ENSEASG00005025499.1)". The record is from RNAcentral. Lineage: Eukaryota; Metazoa; Chordata; Mammalia; Perissodactyla; Equidae.
GGACAGUGUGAGUGAUUUGCCUUUCUUUUCUUUUAAAUUUUUUUUUGAAGAUUUUAUUUUUCCUUUUUCUCCCCAAAGCCCCCUGAAACAUAGUUGUGCAUUUUUAGUUGUGAGUCCCUCUAGUUGUCGCAUGUGGGAUGCUGCUUCAGCAUGGCUCGAUGAGCGGUGCCAUGUCCGUGCCCAGGAUCCCAACUGGCAAAACCCUGGGACACCGAAGUGGAGUGUGUGAACUUAACCACUCAGCCACAGGGCUGGUCCCUGGAUUUGCCUUUCUAUUUUUAAAAAUAUUAUUUGCGUUUCCAUCAUCUCUGCAUACAUUGCCCAGCUGUUUUUGUAUGCUGUAUACUUCAUCCAUUAGAGCCCUUGGCAUAUUAAUUAUAGUUGUUUUAAAUUCCUAUUCUGAUAAUUCCAACAUCUGCCACAACUGGUUUUGAGGCUUGCUCUGUCUCUUCAAAUUGUGUUUUUUGCCUUUUGGUACCUUGUACUUUUUUCUUGAUAGCGAAACACAACAGACUGAGUAAAAGGAAGUGCUAUAAAUAGGCCUUUAGUAACGUAGUGGUGAGGAUCGAGAGAAAGGGAAGUGUUCUAUAGGAUCAUGAUUAGGUCUCAGUCUUUUAGUGAGCCAAUGCCUCUGGACUGUGAACUUCACAAGUUUCUCAGUAUUUUUCCACCCCCUGAGGUGGGACAGAACGGCUAGAGCUGGCUGGAGUUGGGUUUCCUCCUGAGGUCAGUUAAGCUCUAGUUAACUAGUUUCUCCUGAAGGCAGGUUUUGCUAAGAAUAGAGUGCUCUGGUUUAUUUCAAAAUGGUUCCUCCCCUCUCCCCCUUGCCAGAAGUCUGAGGGGAUUUUUCUCUGAAAUUUACUGUGGUAAUAUGGUCAAGUUCCUGGAGGUGAAUCUCACAAUAUUGUGGGAUCCCCCUUAUGACUAGGUCUCCCUAGAGUUUUUAACUCUCAGACUUGUCCACAGUGAGCCUCCAGACAUUCAUCAAUUAAGUUCUAGGUUUUCCUACCCAAGCACUAGUUCCUGUGGUAGUUUCUGCUCCUGAGUCUCUGCCCCUGUAAGCUGCAACCAUCAGUAUUUGCCUGUUUCUCAAAUUUUGGGGGUAGCGGUUUGCCUUGUGCCCUCCCACCUCUUACAGAUCUAAGGAGAGUUGGUGAUUUUUCAGUCUGUUCAGCUUUUUACUUGUUUCAGCAUGAAGUUGGGACAUCCAAGCUCCUUACAUGUGGAACCCAGAAACUGGAAGCAUUAUCACUUGAUUUUUAACAGGAAUAUAUGGUCCCAUUCUUAAGGACUGAGGACCUAUAUCAUUUUUUUUUCAUAAAUAAAG